CCUACGGGCGGCAGCAGUGGGGAAUAUUGCACAAUGGGGGAAACCCUGAUGCAGCGACGCCGCGUGAGUGAAGAAGUAAUUCGUUAUGUAAAGCUCUAUCAGCAGGGAAGAAAAUGACGGUACCUGAGUAAGAAGCCCCGGCUAACUACGUGCCAGCAGCCGCGGUAAUACGUAGGGGGCAAGCGUUAUCCGGAUUUACUGGGUGUAAAGGGAGCGUAGGCGGCAGUGCAAGUCAGAAGUGAAAGCCCAAGGCUCAACCAUGGGACUGCUUUUGAAACUGUACAGCUAGAUUGCUGGAGAGGCAAGUGGAAUUCCUGGUGUAGCGGUGAAAUGCGUAGAUAUUAGGAGGAACACCAGUGGCGAAGGCGGCUUACUGGACUGUAAAUGACGCUGAGGCUCGAAAGCGUGGGGAGCAAACAGGAUUAGAUACCCUAGUAGUC
This 440-nucleotide ribosomal RNA is filed under the name uncultured bacterium. RNAcentral describes it as "partial 16S ribosomal RNA". It matches the Rfam family "Bacterial small subunit ribosomal RNA", at positions 338 to 795 of the family's 1533-position model. The record is from RNAcentral.